GUCCACGCCCUAAACGAUGUCAACUAGGUGUUGGAAGGGUAAAACCUUUUAGUACCGGAGCUAACGCGUGAAGUUGACCGCCUGGGGAGUACGGCCGCAAGGUUAAACUCAAAGGAAUUGACGGGGACCCGCACAAGCGGUGGAUGAUGUGGAUUAAUUCGAUGCAACGCGAAAAACCUUACCUACCCUUGACAUGUCCAGGAGCCCUUAGAGAUUUGGGUGUGCCCGAAAGGGAACUGGAACACAGGUGCUGCAUGGCUGUCGU
Molecule: ribosomal RNA, 265 nt
Filed under: uncultured bacterium
Lineage: Bacteria
Description: partial 16S ribosomal RNA
Rfam family: Bacterial small subunit ribosomal RNA
Source: RNAcentral